RNAcentral lists this non-coding RNA (26 nucleotides) under Homo sapiens (human). Lineage: Eukaryota; Metazoa; Chordata; Mammalia; Primates; Hominidae. The record is from RNAcentral.
GACUACAGAGAGCCCUUCUUCCGAAA